This 454-nucleotide ribosomal RNA is filed under the name uncultured bacterium. RNAcentral describes it as "partial 16S ribosomal RNA". It matches the Rfam family "Bacterial small subunit ribosomal RNA", at positions 28 to 507 of the family's 1533-position model. The record is from RNAcentral.
GAUGAACGCUGACAGAAUGCUUAACACAUGCAAGUCUACUUGAACUUCGGUUUGGGUGGCGGCCGGGUGAGUAACGCGUAAAGAACUUGCCUCACAGAUAGGGACAACAUUUGGAAACGAAUGCUAAUACCUGAUAUUAUGAUCUUAGGGCAUCCUAGAAUUAUGAAAGCUAUAUGCACUGUGAGAGAGCUUUGCGUCCCAUUAGCUAGUUGGAGAGGUAACGGCUCACCAAGGCGAUGAUGGGUAGCCGGCCUGAGAGGGUGAUCGGCCACAAGGGGACUGAGACACGACCCUUGCUCCGACGGGAGGCAGCAGUGGAGAAUAUUGGACAAUAGACCAAGAGUCUGAUCCAGCAAUUCUGUGUGCACGAUGAAGUUUUUCGGAAUGAAAAGUGCUUUCAGUUGGGAAGAAAAAAAUGACGGUACCAACAGAAGAAGUGACGGCUAAAUACGUG